CCCAGGAGGUUCCACCUGACAUAAGCCAUUACUGAAGACUGACAGGAAAGUGUGCUGGUAGCCAAGACAUGCUUUAAGACAAGAAGAAGAUACUUAAAUGAUUUAUUUGUGAUGUACUAUCUGGAGAAGGUCAUGGAGGAGAGAGAAAGAAUGGAAAGGAACAAGAUACAGAAAGGCUGUUGUGUAGAAGACUCCAAAUUUUGAUGAGAAUACAUGCUAAGGAUGUGCUGUUGAAAAACUAACAUGUUGGUCCUCAGAAUGAAGAGAGAAAGAUGACUAUGAAGCCCGUG
Long non-coding RNA from Passer domesticus (house sparrow), 290 nucleotides. RefSeq lists it as uncharacterized. Lineage: Eukaryota; Metazoa; Chordata; Aves; Passeriformes; Passeridae. The transcript has 3 exons. The record is from RefSeq and is a predicted model, not a curated record.